AGUAAGUGAAUUUGUUAAAAUAUAUGCCUUGAAAGCAUAAAAAAGAGGUAGACUCCUCUACUUACUU
Molecule: transfer RNA, 67 nt
Filed under: Scolytinae sp. BMNH 1040351
Lineage: Eukaryota; Metazoa; Arthropoda; Insecta; Coleoptera; Curculionidae
Description: tRNA-Ser
Rfam family: tRNA
About the family: Transfer RNA (tRNA) molecules are approximately 80 nucleotides in length.
Source: RNAcentral